GUGUAUCGCCAGGGGUGCCUGCCCCGGACGGGCGGGCUGAGAUCACACCCUCCGAACCUGAACCGGUUAGCGCCGGCGUAGGGAGGCGAAUCUGUUCACCU
Molecule: non-coding RNA, 101 nt
Filed under: Fimbriiglobus ruber
Lineage: Bacteria; Pseudomonadati; Planctomycetota; Planctomycetia; Gemmatales; Gemmataceae
Description: TPP sequence
Rfam family: TPP riboswitch aptamer (THI element)
About the family: Vitamin B(1) in its active form thiamin pyrophosphate (TPP) is an essential coenzyme that is synthesised by coupling of pyrimidine and thiazole moieties in bacteria.
Source: Rfam by way of RNAcentral